CGAGUUUAACACAUGCCCGUCGAGGGGAAACAACAUCAAAAGCUUGCUUUUGAUGGGUGUCGUCCGGCGCACGGGUGAGUAACGCGUAUCCAACCUGCCCAUCACUUGGGAAUAACCUUGCGAAAGUAAGACUAAUACCCAAUGAUAUCCCACGAAGACAUCUGAAUGGGAUUAAAGAUUUAUCGGUGAUGGAUGGGGAUGCGUCUGAUUAGCUUGUUGGCGGGGUAACGGCCCACCAAGGCAACGAUCAGUAGGGGUUCUGAGAGGAAGGUCCCCCACAUUGGAACUGAGACACGGUCCAAACUCCUACGGGAGGCAGCAGUGAGGAAUAUUGGUCAAUGGGCGAGAGCCUGAACCAGCCAAGUAGCGUGCAGGACGACGGCCCUAUGGGUUGUAAACUGCUUUUAUAAGGGAAUAAAGUGAGUCUCGUGAGACUUUUUGCAUGUACCUUAUGAAUAAGGACCGGCUAAUUCCGUGCCAGCAGCCGCGGUAAUACGGAAGGUCCGGGCGUUAUCCGGAUUUAUUGGGUUUAAAGGGAGCGUAGGCCGGAGAUUAAGCGUGUUGUGAAAUGUAGAGGCUCAACCUCUGCACUGCAGCGCGAACUGGUCUUCUUGAGUACGCACAACGUGGGCGGAAUUCGUG
Molecule: ribosomal RNA, 642 nt
Filed under: uncultured Bacteroidota bacterium
Lineage: Bacteria; Pseudomonadati; Bacteroidota
Description: bacterial SSU rRNA
Rfam family: Bacterial small subunit ribosomal RNA
Source: RNAcentral